CUUUUCCUUCAGGUCUUUACUCACACAUCAUCUCUGACAGGCCUUCGUCGGCCACUGUAUCUAAGGGUAGCUGUCUUCCCAUUUAUUCUCUAUCAUACAAACUUCUAUAGGGAUAAUUAGACAAUUUGUAAAAUACUAGCUAGAAAAAAAACAGUGCUAAACUAAUGGGAUAUCCCUAGUUUCCAGCCCUUGAUAAUGAAGAUGUAUUAUCUUUUUCUGGGAAACCUAUAAGGUUAUUAGAGAAAGAAAGGAAAAACAAAGCUUAAUUGGUGAAGCAUACUAGCAAAUCAAAAGACUAGCAAUACAUUUAGGGUGGAAAGUCUCUCUAAAUAGUCUGAUUUAUUUUGUAUUUCACCAAACUUGAAUUUCUUUGUCUAAAAUAUAAGAAUCUUCAGCUUUGAGUGAAAAAAAGUUUUAAUAGUGCCAGUGCAGUGGUACAUGCCUAUAAUCACAGUGUCUUGGGAAGCCAAGACAGAAUUACAAGUUCAAAGACAGCCUAAGCAACUUAGUGAGACUCUCAAAAUAGAAAAUAAAAGGGUUUGGGGAUGUAGCUCAAUGGUAAAGCACCCCUGGGUUCAAUCCCCAGUACCUAAAAAAUAAUAGUAAGUCAAACUUAAGAAUGACAAAAAUGUGUUACUAAUUUAAUCUUCAACUGUUAUUUUAAGAAGUAAUUUUAUCUUGAUAGUACUGACAAAAGUUCACAGAAGCAAUAUUUGGGAGAGUAUAAACUGGCAGGAUACUUCUAGAGUACAUUUUGGCAGGAUAUGUCAAAAGUCUUGAGUGUAUGUUUGACCCAGUAAUUCCUUUUCUAGAAAUGUAUCAUAGAAAAUAAGGACAGCCUGGGGAUGAGACUUGGUAUAGAGUGUUUACCUGGCAAGUGUGAAGCCCUAGGUUCAGUGCCCAGCACCAGGGGGGGAAAUGAGGGAAAUAAGGAUGUGUGUAGUAAUUUGAUUGCAAGAGUGUGCUUUAUUCCAUUGUUUAUUAACUAGAUUAGGAAACAUACCUACAAUGAAUGAUUCUCAACCAUUAAAAAUAAUAUGGAGAAAAUUUUACUGAUACAAUAAAUGGUGAAGUGUAAAGAAAAAGUUGUAAAAUAUUUUAAAUUUUAAAUCUUUGUCUCAUAAAGAAGGCCUAACAAUAUACACAAGGUAUUUUAUAUCAACAUUGCCCAAGUAAUUUAGAAAUCUUCCCCAUUCUCAUAGUUUUAAAAUUUUCAUACAAUAAAAUUUGUAUAAUACUAAGUAAAAGGCUGCUUUUCUGUUUUAAGAAACACAUAUGUGUUUCUGGGACUAGUACUACAUACACAGUUGUCAAGCCUAAAACCUUUUCCAUAUGCCCCCAACUAAACCAAUUCCCAUAUAUUUUAUCUUCUA
Molecule: long non-coding RNA, 1373 nt
Filed under: Marmota monax (woodchuck)
Lineage: Eukaryota; Metazoa; Chordata; Mammalia; Rodentia; Sciuridae
Source: RNAcentral